This 520-nucleotide unclassified non-coding RNA is filed under the name uncultured Glomus. RNAcentral's name for it is "SSU rRNA". It matches the Rfam family "Eukaryotic small subunit ribosomal RNA", at positions 569 to 1090 of the family's 1831-position model. The record is from RNAcentral. Lineage: Eukaryota; Fungi; Glomeromycota; Glomeromycetes; Glomerales; Glomeraceae.
AGCAGCCGCGGUAAUUCCAGCUCCAAUAGCGUAUAUUAAAGUUGUUGCAGUUAAAAAGCUCGUAGUUGAAUUUCGGGAUCAAUUAAUUGGUCGUGCCUCUGGUACGUAUUGAUUUUAUUGGUUUCUCCCUUCUGACGAACCAUGAUGUCAUUAAUUUGGUGUCGUGGAGAAUCAGGACUGUUACUUUGAAAAAAUUAGAGUGUUUAAAGCAAGCUAACGCUUGAAUACAUUAGCAUGGAAUAAUGAAAUAGGACGUUUGAUCCUAUUUUGUUGGUUUCUAGGAUCGACGUAAUGAUUAAUAGGGAUAGUUGGGGGCAUUAGUAUUCAAUUGUCAGAGGUGAAAUUCUUGGAUUUAUUGAAGACUAACUACUGCGAAAGCAUUUGCCAAGGAUGUUUUCAUUAAUCAAGAACGAAAGUUAGGGGAUCGAAGACGAUCAGAUACCGUCGUAGUCUUAACCAUAAACUAUGCCGACUAGGGAUCGGAUGAUGUUAAUUUUUUAAUGACUCAUUCGGCGCCUUA